UAGGGAAUCUUCGGCAAUGGGGGGAACCCUGACGGAGCAACGCCGCGUGAGUGAAGAAGGAUUUCGGUUCGUAAAACUCUGUUGUUAGGGAAGAAAAAAUGUAUAGUAACUAUAUACAAAAGAGACGGUACCUAACCAGAAAGCCACGGCUAACUACGUGCCAGCAGCCGCGGUAAUACGUAGGUGGCAAGCGUUGUCCGGAAUUAUUGGGCGUAAAGCGCGCGCAGGUGGUUUAGAAAGUCUGAUGUGAAAGCCCACGGCUCAACCGUGGAGGGUCAUUGGAAACUAAUAAACUUGAGUGCAGGAGAGAAAAGUGGAAUUCCUAGUGUAGCGGUGAAAUGCGUAGAGAUUAGGAGGAACACCGGUGGCGAAAGCGGCUUUUUGGCCUGCAACUGACACUGAGGCGCGAAAGCGUGGGGAGCAAACAGG
RNAcentral lists this ribosomal RNA (429 nucleotides) under Verrucomicrobiota bacterium. RNAcentral describes it as "Verrucomicrobia bacterium partial 16S ribosomal RNA". It matches the Rfam family "Bacterial small subunit ribosomal RNA", at positions 355 to 776 of the family's 1533-position model. The record is from RNAcentral. Lineage: Bacteria; Pseudomonadati; Verrucomicrobiota.